This 283-nucleotide long non-coding RNA is filed under the name Gallus gallus (chicken). Lineage: Eukaryota; Metazoa; Chordata; Aves; Galliformes; Phasianidae. The record is from RNAcentral.
UGUCCCUAUGUGUCUCUUGGCGACCCUGCACACAGCAGGGGGUUGGAACUCAAUGAGCACUGUGGGCCUUUGCAAUUCAGGCCAUCCUAUGAUCCUAUGGGUCUCUCUGUGUCCCUGUGGGGGAUCUGUGUGUCCCUAUGUGUCCCUUGGCAGCCCUGCACAUAGGAGGGGGUUGGAACCCGAUGAUCACUGCGAUCCUUUUCAACCCAGGCCGCUCUAUGGUUCUUCCCCCCAGUCAGCCCACUGUUGCUUUGCAUGCUGCCUUUCCAGCAGCUCCCAUCCG